RNAcentral lists this ribosomal RNA (522 nucleotides) under uncultured bacterium. Its description in RNAcentral is "bacterial SSU rRNA". It matches the Rfam family "Bacterial small subunit ribosomal RNA", at positions 366 to 895 of the family's 1533-position model. The record is from RNAcentral.
GCGCAAUGGGCGAAAGCCUGACGCAGCGACGCCGCGUGGGGGAUGACGGCCUUCGGGUUAUAAACCUCUUUCGCCAGGGACGAAGCCUUCGGGUGACGGUACCUGGAUAAGAAGCACCGGCCAACUACGUGCCAGCAGCCGCGGUAACACGUAGGGUGCGAGCAUUGUCCGGAAUUAUUGGGCGUAAAGAGCUCGUAGGCGGUGUGUCACGUCGGCCGUGAAAACUUGGGGCUUAACUCUAAGCGUGCGGUCGAUACGGGCAUCACUUGAGUUCGGUAGGGGAGACUGGAAUUCCUGGUGUAGCGGUGAAAUGCGCAGAUAUCAGGAGGAACACCGGUGGCGAAGGCGGGUCUCUGGGCCGAUACUGACGCUGAGGAGCGAAAGCGUGGGGAGCGAACAGGAUUAGAUACCCUGGUAGUCCACGCCGUAAACGUUGGGCGCUAGGUGUGGGGACCAUUCCACGGUUUCUGUGCCGCAGCUAACGCAUUAAGCGCCCCGCCUGGGGAGUACGGCCGCAAGGCU